RNAcentral lists this small RNA (175 nucleotides) under Marmota monax (woodchuck). Its description in RNAcentral is "7SK RNA". It matches the Rfam family "7SK RNA", at positions 1 to 182 of the family's 331-position model. Rfam says of the family: 7SK was discovered as an abundant small nuclear RNA in the mid-70s but a possible function has only recently been suggested. Two independent studies have found that 7SK RNA binds the CDK9/cyclin T complex (known as elongation factor P-TEFb). The record is from Rfam by way of RNAcentral. Lineage: Eukaryota; Metazoa; Chordata; Mammalia; Rodentia; Sciuridae.
AUAUGACAGCUGCUGGCUGCAACAUGUCCUCUCACUGAUCACUAGGGUUGAUUUGGCUAAUCUGGUUGACUAGGCAGGAGUCUCCUUCCUCCCUUACUACGAUGUGCACCCUUCCCAAAGCGGGGUGCUCCAUCAGAGAAGAUGACUUUCCCUGAUAGAAUAGGACAAUUUCCCC